AUGUUAAAAUCAAUCGGGUCCAGGACCAAUCCAGUAUAUCUUAUCAUAAUCCUUCGUUUUUAAAUCAAUUUUCUAUGUGCAUACAUUUAGAGUAAUUAAGAGCUGGUAAACUCAGUGUAUGAUAAAUAUUUCCGGUUAUGGAAUACAUUCUUCUGCAUUUAUUUCCAUAUUUUUCUAGAAAUUCACACAAUUGCAUGUUUGUAGUUUAAUUAUUG
This 215-nucleotide long non-coding RNA is filed under the name Mytilus galloprovincialis (Mediterranean mussel). The record is from RNAcentral. Lineage: Eukaryota; Metazoa; Mollusca; Bivalvia; Mytilida; Mytilidae.